GACGAACGCUGGCGGCGUGCCUAAUACAUGCAAGUAGAACGCUGAAGGAGGAGCUUGCUUCUCUGGAUGAGUUGCGAACGGGUGAGUAACGCGUAGGUAACCUGCCUGGUAGCGGGGGAUAACUAUUGGAAACGAUAGCUAAUACCGCAUAAGAGUAGAUGUUGCAUGACAUUUACUUAAAAGGUGCAAUUGCAUCACUACCAGAUGGACCUGCGUUGUAUUAGCUAGUUGGUGAGGUAACGGCUCACCAAGGCAACGAUACAUAGCCGACCCGAGAGGGGGAUCGGCCACCCUGGGACUGAGACACGGCCCAGACUCCUACGGGAGGCAGCAGUAGGGGAUCUUCGGCAAUGGACGGAAGGCUGACCGGGCAACGCCGCGUGAGUGAAGAAGGGUUUCGGAUCGUAAAGAUCUGUUGUAAGAGAAGAACGAGUGUGAGAGUGGAAAGUUCACACUGUGACGGUAUCUUACCAGAAAGGGACGGCUAACUACGUG
RNAcentral lists this ribosomal RNA (495 nucleotides) under uncultured bacterium. Its description in RNAcentral is "partial 16S ribosomal RNA". It matches the Rfam family "Bacterial small subunit ribosomal RNA", at positions 28 to 507 of the family's 1533-position model. The record is from RNAcentral.